Micropterus dolomieu (smallmouth bass) is the source of this 539-nucleotide long non-coding RNA. RefSeq lists it as uncharacterized. The record is from RefSeq and is a predicted model, not a curated record. The transcript is spliced from 3 exons. NCBI's taxonomy places the organism in Eukaryota, Metazoa, Chordata, Actinopteri, Centrarchiformes, Centrarchidae.
CAAAGCUUCCCUCUGUGUCAGUGAGUCCCUCUGCUGAGAUAGUGGAGGGCAGUUCAGUGACUCUGACCUGCAGCAGUGAUGCUAACCCAGCAGCUAAAUACACCUGGUACAAGGAGAACCAAACUCUGCUCAGUGAAGAACCACAGCUUGUCUUCAGCUCCAUCCAGUCCUCUGACUCUGGAGAGUAUUACUGUGCAGCUGAGAACCAGCUGGGGAGGAGGACAACUAAAUACAUCAUUAAUGUGAAAUAUGCUCCAAAGCUUCCCUCUGUGUCAGUGAGUCCCUCUGCUGAGAUAGUGGAGGGCAGUUCAGUGACUCUGACCUGCAGCAGUGAUGCUAACCCAGCAGCUAAAUACACCUGGUACAAGGAGAACCAAACUCUGCUCAGUGAAGAACCACAGCUUGUCUUCAGCUCCAUCCAGUCCUCUGACUCUGGAGAGUAUUACUGUGCAGCUGAGAACAAGCUGGGGAGGAAGACAACUAAAUACAUCAUUAAUGUGAAAUAUGCUCCAAAGCUUCCCUCUGUGUCAGUGAGUCCC